AGGAUUAGGGAACGUGGGGGGAACCUUGUUCCGCCCUGCCCGCGUUGUGUUGAAGAAGGCCUUAUGGUUGUAAAGCACUUUAAGCGAGGAGGAGGCUACUUUAGUUAAUACCUAGAGAUAGUGGACGUUACUCGCAGAAUAAGCACCGGCUAACUCUGUGCCAGCAGCCGCGGUAAU
RNAcentral lists this ribosomal RNA (177 nucleotides) under uncultured Moraxellaceae bacterium. Its description in RNAcentral is "partial 16S ribosomal RNA". It matches the Rfam family "Bacterial small subunit ribosomal RNA", at positions 357 to 524 of the family's 1533-position model. Lineage: Bacteria; Pseudomonadati; Pseudomonadota; Gammaproteobacteria; Moraxellales; Moraxellaceae. The record is from RNAcentral.